Molecule: long non-coding RNA, 378 nt
Filed under: Cucumis sativus (cucumber)
Lineage: Eukaryota; Viridiplantae; Streptophyta; Magnoliopsida; Cucurbitales; Cucurbitaceae
Description: long non-coding RNA (CSAT_LNC000807)
Source: RNAcentral
ACCCUGUAUGACACAGAAAAAAAGCACAGGUCCUAGGGGUCGGGUGGGGCUCGUUCGGGGUGCACAACGUUUGCGCCAAAAACGGUCCAAAAAUGGCCAAGGCUUUACCAUACGAAAAAUCGUCCGAUUUUUAGCCAUGAGAAAAACGACCCGAAAAUUCACAGAUGACUACUAGACGGCCUCACUUUGAGUAAUAUUAAAGUUUUUUCCCACAAAAACCGCUCGGAGAUGCCCAGACUCAGUUUUUAUUUUCGUCCCACACUUUUCUUCCAAUGGUUGAGUUGUGUUUCUUUGAUCUUGUGCAACCUAUUUAGACCGAUGAUAGGCCGCGGAUAGGUGUGGAAACCCAUCUACAUUGCACCCUGUAUGACACAGAAA